This 253-nucleotide ribosomal RNA is filed under the name uncultured bacterium. Its description in RNAcentral is "partial 16S ribosomal RNA". It matches the Rfam family "Bacterial small subunit ribosomal RNA", at positions 524 to 776 of the family's 1533-position model. The record is from RNAcentral.
UACGGAGGGUGCAAGCGUUGUUCGGAAUCAUUGGGCGUAAAGCGCGUGUAGGCGGCUAGGCAAGUCAGUUGUGAAAGCCCGGGGCCCAACCCCGGAACUGCAUCUGAAACUGCCUGGCUGGAGUCCCGGAGAGGAAGGCAGAAUUCCCGGUGUAGGGGUGAAAUCCGUAGAUAUCGGGAGGAAUACCAGCGGCGAAGGCGGCCUUCUGGACGGUGACUGACGCUGAGACGCGAAAGCGUGGGGAGCAAACAGG